Molecule: ribosomal RNA, 427 nt
Filed under: uncultured bacterium
Lineage: Bacteria
Description: bacterial SSU rRNA
Rfam family: Bacterial small subunit ribosomal RNA
Source: RNAcentral
UGGGGAAUUUUGGACAAUGGGCGCAAGCCUGAUCCAGCCAUGCCGCGUGCGGGAAGAAGGCCUUCGGGUUGUAAACCGCUUUUGUCGGGGAAGAAAUCUCUCGGGCUAAUACCUUGGGGGGAUGACGGUACCCGAAGAAUAAGCACCGGCUAACUACGUGCCAGCAGCCGCGGUAAUACGUAGGGUGCGAGCGGUAAUCGGAAUUACUGGGCGUAAAGCGUGCGCAGGCGGUCGUGCAAGACAGAUGUGAAAUCCCCGGGCUCAACCUAGGAACUGCAUUUGAGACUGCACGGCUAGAGUACGGCAGAGGGGGAUGGAAUUCCGCGUGUAGCAGUGAAAUGCGUAGAUAUGCGGAGGAACACCGGUGGCGAAGGCGGUCCCCUGGGCCUGUACUGACGCUCAUGCACGAAAGCGUGGGGAGCAAACA